AUUGAACGCUGGCGGCAGGCUUAACACAUGCAAGUCGAGCGGGGUGAUGGUGCUUGCACUAUCACUUAGCGGCGGACGGGUGAGUAAUGCUUAGGAAUCUGCCUAUUAGUGGGGGACAACAUCUCGAAAGGGAUGCUAAUACCGCAUACGUCCUACGGGAGAAAGCAGGGGAUCACUUGUGACCUUGCGCUAAUAGAUGAGCCUAAGUCGGAUUAGCUAGUUGGUGGGCUAAAGGCCUACCAAGGCGACGAUCUGUAGCGGGUCUGAGAGGGUGAUCCGCCACACGGUGACUGAGACACCGCCCAGACUCCUACGGGAAGCAGCAAUGGGGAAUAUUGGACAAUGGGGGGAACCCUGCUCCAGCCAUGCCGCGUGUGUGAAGAAGGCCUUAUGGUUGUAAAGCACUUUAAGCGAGGAGGAGGCUCUUUUGGUUAAUACCCAAGAUGAGUGGACGUUACUCGCAGAAUAAGCACCGGCUAACUCUGUGCCAGCCGCCGCAGUAA
This 503-nucleotide ribosomal RNA is filed under the name uncultured bacterium. RNAcentral's name for it is "partial 16S ribosomal RNA". It matches the Rfam family "Bacterial small subunit ribosomal RNA", at positions 30 to 523 of the family's 1533-position model. The record is from RNAcentral.